RNAcentral lists this ribosomal RNA (388 nucleotides) under Chrysochromulina sp. Its description in RNAcentral is "partial small subunit ribosomal RNA". It matches the Rfam family "Eukaryotic small subunit ribosomal RNA", at positions 582 to 975 of the family's 1831-position model. Lineage: Eukaryota; Haptophyta; Prymnesiales; Chrysochromulinaceae. The record is from RNAcentral.
AUUCCAGCUCCAAUAGCGUAUAUUAAAGUUGUUGCAGUUAGAACGCUCGUAGUCGGAUUUCGGGGCGGGUCGACCGGUCUGCCGAUGGGUACGCACUGGCCGACGCGUCCUUCCUUCCGGAGACCGUCUCACUCUUAACUGAGCGGAGGCGGGAGACGGAACGUUUACUUUGAAAAAAUCAGAGUGUUUCAAGCAGGCAGCUCGCUCUUGCAUGGAUUAGCAUGGGAUAAUGAAAUAGGACUUUGGUGCUAUUUUGUUGGUUUCGAACACCGAAGUAAUGAUGAGCAGGGACAGUCAGGGGCACUCGUAUUCCGCCGAGAGAGGUGAAAUUCUCAGACCAGCGGAAGACGAACUACUGCGAAAGCAUUUGCCAGGGAUGUUUUCAUUA